AUGCAUGUCUAAGCAUAAACCGAAUAUGGUAAAGCCGCGAAUGGCUCAUUACAACAGCCAUAGUUUAUUGGAUCUUAGAGUCCUACUUGGAUACCUGUGGUAAUUCUAGAGCUAAUACACGCAAUCAAGCCCCAACCUGACGGGCGGGGCGCAUUUAUUAGAACAAAACCAAUUGGCUUCGGCCAUUCAUUGGUGAAUCUGAAUAACUACGCUGAUCGCACGGUCUCGCACCGGCGACGUAUCCUUCAAGUGUCUGCCUUAUCAACUUUCGAUGGUAGUUUACAUGACUACCAUGGUUGUAACGGGUAACGGAGAAUAAGGGUUCGACUCCGGAGAGGGAGCCUGAGAAACGGCUACCACAUCCAAGGAAGGCAGCAGGCGCGCAAAUUACCCACUCUCAGAACGAGGAGGUAGUGACGAAAAAUAACGAGACAGUUCUCUAUGAGGUCUGUCAUCGGAAUGGGUACAAUCUAAACCCUUUAACGAGGAUCUAUUGGAGGGCAAGUCUGGUGCCAGCAGCCGCGGUAAUUCCAGCUCCAAUAGCGUAUAUUAAAGUUGUUGCGGUUAAAAAGCUCGUAGUUGGAUCUGCGGUCACAGACGCCGGUUUCCUUCACGGAAUACUGGUUGUCUUGACCUACCUUACUGGUUUUCCCUUGUUGCUCUUUACUGAGUGACCUGGGUGGCUAGUACGUUUACUUUGAAAAAAUUAGAGUGCUUAACGCAGGCUUUUGCCUGAAUAGUGGUGCAUGGAAUAAUGGAAUAGGACCUCGGUUCUAUUUUGUUGGUUUUCGGAGCACGAGGUAAUGAUUAAGAGGGACAGACGGGGGCAUUCGUACUGCUGCGUUAGAGGUGAAAUUCUUGGAUCGCAGCAUGACGAACAACUGCGAAAGCAUUUGCCAAGAAUGUUUUCAUUAAUCAAGAACGAUAGUUAGAG
Molecule: ribosomal RNA, 934 nt
Filed under: Dichromadora sp. 1 LM-2017
Lineage: Eukaryota; Metazoa; Nematoda; Chromadorea; Chromadorida; Chromadoridae
Description: SSU rRNA
Rfam family: Eukaryotic small subunit ribosomal RNA
Source: RNAcentral